CGGUCGCUCUGUGACGCGAGCGGCCGGAGGCUGAGGGCCGCUGGACGGGGUCCGGGCGGAGCCGGUUGGCUCGGCGAGGCCGCGAGGCAUCGGUCCUGUUGGCGGUUACGUGAACCAAACUGUGGCCAAAGCAGUUUUCGGGACCUAGCAAAGUGCCUUGUACAUCCGCAGUCACUCCAUUAAUGUCUGAAAAAUGAAUAAUUUAUAAAUGAAGAAGCACAGUAGAACAAGGAACUGAUAUUUACAGUGGAUAUGGUAAAUUGAGCCGUCUGAAUGUGAGCGAUGCAAGCUGGAAAACAGUCACAGCGGUGAUCUUGGUGGGAGAGGGUGAGGGGUGGGUGUGGGCCGCGGUGGGAGGCUGUGUUUGCCCUUCUUGAGCGAAGAAGCAUCAGAGUAGAAGACUGUUAGAGUUGCAAGGCGACUUAGAGCCCACGCGACAGUCCAGUUUGUCGUUUUGCAAAUAAGAAAAGUUCCAGGCCUGGAGGAAGGCAAAAAAUAUGCCGAAGGUCACAUCUGAGGUGCCAGAGAGGGAAUUUACCCUUGGGCUCCUGAUUUCAAGCUCAAGUUCCUUAGACAGCACUGACUGUUAGAGUAAGAGAAGCCUGGGAGGAAAGAUAGGGGAAUACAGACAGAUGAACCCUUACCCCAUUCUGAACAUUGUUGCUGAAGUCCAGUUGUGAGAGAAUAUUGGCCUGGAUUAGGUUGACUGCAAAGGAAGGGGCAAGGAAUGAACACAUUUAGGAGGCAUCUUGAAACAUGAUUUAAUAAAGAUUGAUAGGACAAAAGAGGAAGAAGUUGAAGAUAAUUUCUGGCUGUUAGCUAGAGUAAAGGAAUUAUACUAGAGAAAGAAGAGGGGUGCAAGUAAUCUGAGGGGAAGUGGAUGAGUUUGGUUUAUACAUGUUAAGUGUGAAGGGAGAUAGGUUUAAUAGUUUCCAGAAUAGAAGUAAUCACUGAAACCAUGCGGUCAUAAAUGGUAGUGAGGGAGAAAGUAGGGAAAAGAGAAAUAGGAAGUCAGUAAUUGUGCCAACUACUUUUGAUGGACGAGAGAAGCAGAGCUGGUUAAUAUGUCAGACACAAGGGACGCCUGGGUGGCUCAGCGGUUUAGUGCCUGCCUUCGGCCCAGGGCGUGAUCCUGGAGUCUUGGGAUUGAGUCCCGCAUCGGGCUCCCUGCAUGGAGCCUGCUUCUCCCUCUGCUUGUGUCUCUGCUUCUCUCUGUGUGUGUCUCUCUCAUGAAUAAAUAAAUAAAAUCUUAAAAAAAAAAAACAUUUCAGAGACAGAGUCAUCAGAAGUGAAAUUUAUUAUGAGAACA
Molecule: long non-coding RNA, 1309 nt
Organism: Canis lupus familiaris (dog)
Lineage: Eukaryota; Metazoa; Chordata; Mammalia; Carnivora; Canidae
Exons: 2
Source: RefSeq, a predicted model, not a curated record